This is a non-coding RNA of Osmia lignaria (orchard mason bee), 3381 nucleotides long. The record is from RefSeq and is a predicted model, not a curated record. NCBI's taxonomy places the organism in Eukaryota, Metazoa, Arthropoda, Insecta, Hymenoptera, Megachilidae.
AUUAUAAUAACGCAUAAUAAAUUUAAACAAGAGUAGCACAAGUUAAUGACAUGAAUAUUAAUUCCUACAGGAACAGCACACCGUCAUCAAAGAGCUAUACUAUUAUCGAAGAGAAACGGCUUGAAUAAAUUGAAUUAAAGAAUACCAGAGAAGAAUAUCAAAAUGUCAAAAUGUCCAAGGAAUGUCCAAGGAUAGAGGUGACAAGAAAUAAAAUAAAAUAAAUGAUGGUAGACAGUGAUACGUGGCACAAAUAAAUUAAAAUAUAGAAAAUAUAUAUAGAAUAAUUGUAUGCAAACAAACCAUAAUUAUAUUAAUAUUAAUGCCAUUUACAGAACUUUGUACCAUCGUGAGACAAAAUAAACUAAAUCUUAACAGUUACCUUGAUUCAAUUUAAUUCAGAAUGAAUGAACAAUGACAGCAUGAAAUGAACGACUGAACAAUGAAAUAAUCAGUUAAAGAUAUUAAGAAGAAUGAGGUAAAUAAUGAGGUAAAUAAUAAAUAAUAAGCAUAAAGUAAAAGUGAAGGCCGUAACCAACCUAAUGUAAAUAAUGUAAUGUAAUGCACUGUAAUAUAAGUAAUGCAAUAUAAUGCAAAACAGAAUGCAAUAAUAAACUGAAUACAAAAUACAAAAUAGAAGAAGUGAAUUCAAUAGAUAUAACCGUAAAGAUUAUUAACUACAAUACUCUAUUUCUUUACCAGAGUAGAUUAUAAGUUAGACUGUAACUGGUAAAUGGUAGAUGAUAAAUGGUCAUGUCAAUACAACUGCAAAUAGAACUAAUUAAUGAAUGACAUAUCAAAAUAGAGUAGCUAAAGUAACAAAUAGAUGAAAUGAAAUAUAAAGUACGUAGUUCAAUAAACACUGUACCAGUGUAUGAACUGAAAUAAGAAUAAAAUGAAAUAAAAUAGAAUAAAUAAAUAAGUAAAUAAUAAAUAAGAGUACAUGAAUGAUAAGAUUAUAAUAAAAUUCACGCACAAUCAAAGCAUUUGGAUGGACAAAACCACUUAUCAUAGUAGAGAUAGCAAAACUUAAUUAAAAUAAGUAAAAUAAGGUAAAAUAAAUCAUAUCCAUUAACCUCAAUUGAUCAGAAUGAGUGAGUGAAUGAAUAAUGAAUGAGUGAAUGGAACGAUUUAGGAAAUAAAGAAGGUAAGAAGGCGUGAGUGAGAGCAAAAAGCAUGGAUGUGUCAGAACGAAUAAACAAUGAGAGAAUGAAAGAAUGAAUGACUGAACAGUGAAAUAAUCAAUUAAAGAUAAUAAAGAAGAAUGAGGUAAAUAGCAAGAUAAAUAAUAAGGCAUAAAAUAUAAAGUGAAGGCUGUAACCAACAUAAUGUAACUAAUGUAAUGUAAUGUAAUGUAAUGUAAUGUAAUGUAAAACAAAAUGAAAUAUACUAAAUAGAAUACAAAACACAAGAAGUGAACUCAAUGAAAUAUAACCGUACAGAUAAUUAGCUACAACACUCCAUUUCCUUUUCCUCACCAAAGUAGGUUAUAAACUAAAUUAUAAAUGGUAAAUGAUUAUGUCAAUGCAAAUGCAAAUAGAACUGAUUAUUGGAUGAUGUAUCAAAAUAAAAUAGCUAAAGCAACAAUGAAAUGAAAUGUAAAGUACGUAGUUCAAUACACACUAUACCAGUGUAUAAACUGAAAUAAGAAUAAAGUGAAAUAAAAUAAAAUAAAAAUAGAAUAAAUAAAUAAUUAUAUAAUAAAUAAGAGUACUUGAAUGAUAAGAUUAUAAUAAAAUUCACGCACAAUCAAAGCAUUUGGAUGGACAAAACCACCUAUCAUUGUAGAGAGAGCAAAACUUAAUUAAAAUAAAGUAAAAUAAGGUAAAAUAAAUCAUAUCCAUUAACUUUAAUUGAUCAGAAUGAAUGAGUGAAAGAAUAAUGAAUAAUGAAUAAUGAAUGAAUGAAUGGAACGAUUAAGGAAAUUAAAGAUUAAGGAAAAUAAAGAAGGUGAAUAAAGAAGAUAAUGAAAAUAAAGAAAAUAAAGAAGGUAAGAAGGCGUGAGUGAGAGCAAAAAGCAGGAAUGUGUCAGAACGCAUAAACAAUGAGAGAAUAAAAGAAUGACUGACUGGACAGUGAAAUAAUCAAUUAAAGAUAAUAAAGAAGAAUGAGGUAAAUAACCAGAUAAAUAAUAAGGCACAAAAUAUAAAGUGAAGGCUGUAACCAACAUAAUGUAAAUAAUGUCAUAUAAUGCGAUGUAAUGUAAUGUAAAACAAAAUGAUAUAUACUAAAAUAGAAUACAAAAUACAAGAAGUGAAUUCAGUGAAAUAUAACCGUAAAGAUUAUUAGCUACAACACUCUAUUUCCUCACCGAGUAGAUUAUAAACUAAAUUAUAAAUGGUAAAUGGUAAAUGAUAAAUGAUUAUGUCAAUGCAAAUGCAAAUAGAGCUGGUUAUUGAAUGACGUAUCAAAAUAAAGUAACUAAAGUGACCAAGAAAUCAAAUCAAAUCAAAUGUAAACUGCGUAGUUCGAUAAACACCAUACCAGUGUAUAGACUAACAAUAAAUAAAUAAAUAAGUAAAUAAGUAAAUAAGGAUACUUAAAUGAUAAGAUUAUAACAAACCCUGCACCAUCAAAGCAUUUGAAUGGACAAAACCACUCAUCAUCAUAGAAAUAAAAACUAAAGUAAAAUAAAUCAUAUCAUAUCCAUUAAUUUAACUUUAAUUGAUCAGAAUGAAUGAAUGAAUGAAUGAGUUAAUGCAUAAUGACUGAAUGAAUGGGAAGAUUAAGGAAAUGCAAGAUUUAGAAAAAUAAAGAAGGUAAGGAAGGUAACGUGAGUGAAAGAAGGCGUGAAUGAAAGCAAGAAAGCGUGAAUGUAAUACAAUAUUAUAAGUAAGUAAGUAAAGGAAAGGAAAGUAAAUGAGCACCCACCACGCAACAAAUAAACUACACAAAACUAUUUACACCAAAAGCACAAAAGCAAUCCCUCAUCACACCAUAUCAUUAAAACAAACACACUAAACCUGAAAUAAACUAAAACAAAACAAAACAAAACAAAACUGGAACUGGAACAAGAGGAACAAUUAAAAACACAACCCGGAUUGUCCAAUUUAUUUAUUUAUUAAUCAAUUCAAUUUAUUUCAGCACAUGUCACUGCUGCAUCGUCCAAAAUGAAAUAUGUAAGCCACGAUAUAAGAAAGAAAUAAAGGAAUAAAUACGAUGAAUACUAUGAAUGAGAUAAUCGAAUAUCAAAAUCGAAAGAACAAGAAAAGUAAACCACGUAACCACGUAACCAAUAAACACGUUAAACACGUUGCACCACGGAUAUGAAUCGAUGAAAAUGACAAAUAUAAUAAAAUAAAAUAAAUAAACCAAACAAUAAGCCGAACAACCGGAUGACAAGCGGACUACGUAUUGAAUCACAAAAUAAAGGAAAUAAAUAAA